GUGUUGGUGGCUCAGUGGUAGAAUUCUCGCUUGCCAUGCGGGAGGCCCAGGUUCAAGUCCUGGCCAAUGCA
Non-coding RNA from Pogoniulus pusillus (Red-fronted tinkerbird), 71 nucleotides. The record is from the annotation of a RefSeq genome assembly. Lineage: Eukaryota; Metazoa; Chordata; Aves; Piciformes; Lybiidae.